UGGUUCGUAGCUCAACUGGCAGAGCACUUCACUGUGAAUGAAGCCGUUGUCGGUUCAAAUCCGAUCGAUCCACCCA
Molecule: transfer RNA, 76 nt
Filed under: Blastocatellia bacterium
Lineage: Bacteria; Pseudomonadati; Acidobacteriota; Blastocatellia
Description: tRNA-His
Rfam family: tRNA
About the family: Transfer RNA (tRNA) molecules are approximately 80 nucleotides in length. Their secondary structure includes four short double-helical elements and three loops (D, anti-codon, and T loops). Further hydrogen bonds mediate the characteristic L-shaped molecular structure. tRNAs have two regions of fundamental functional importance: the anti-codon, which is responsible for specific mRNA codon recognition, and the 3' end, to which the tRNAs corresponding amino acid is attached (by aminoacyl-tRNA synthetases). tRNAs cope with the degeneracy of the genetic code in two manners: having more than one tRNA (with a specific anti-codon) for a particular amino acid; and 'wobble' base-pairing, i.e. permitting non-standard base-pairing at the 3rd anti-codon position.
Source: RNAcentral